AUAAUUGAAUAUCAAUUUCGCGGUGAUUGCGGUUUAUUUGGAAACUUAGAAUAAUAGAAAAUGAAACUCAAUAUGUGUAUCGCUGUACGUUUAGUUUAAAACUGGAAUGAAUUCGCAUUAACAUAUGUACAAGUACAACUGAAACAUAAAAAAAACUCAACAAAGGUAAGAUCCGUAACAAUUACAUAUUGUAGAUAAAUAUCAGAGCUAAUAUGGGAGGUUGUUAACAGAAUUCUAUUUUAUUAUUGAAAAUGGAAUCGGGAGAACAUUCAGUAUUAUCGCCAACGAAAUUGUAGUAACUCAUUUAUUGUGGUAUAGAAACUACCUCAUUCUCGAAGUAAAAUGGAAAGAGAACUGAGACGGAACCAUACCCAUGUUCAUAACCAAAUAUGGAGCACUGAUUCUUUGUUCCCCACAUAUUAGAGAUUGGAAGAGGUUCUCAGAAUUUGUGAAGAAUCCGUGAAGAGGCUGAUUCAGUGCGAAUAUACCUCCAAACACAGCACUUAACCU
Coccinella septempunctata (seven-spotted ladybird) is the source of this 510-nucleotide long non-coding RNA. RefSeq lists it as uncharacterized. The record is from RefSeq and is a predicted model, not a curated record. NCBI's taxonomy places the organism in Eukaryota, Metazoa, Arthropoda, Insecta, Coleoptera, Coccinellidae. The transcript has 2 exons.